GCGCCCAUAGCUCAGCUGGAUAGAGCACUUGACUACGAAUCAAGGGGUCGGGAGUUCGAAUCUCUCUGGGCGCGCCA
Molecule: transfer RNA, 77 nt
Filed under: Deltaproteobacteria bacterium
Lineage: Bacteria; Pseudomonadati; Myxococcota; Myxococcia
Description: tRNA-Arg
Rfam family: tRNA
About the family: Transfer RNA (tRNA) molecules are approximately 80 nucleotides in length. Their secondary structure includes four short double-helical elements and three loops (D, anti-codon, and T loops).
Source: RNAcentral